Molecule: ribosomal RNA, 427 nt
Filed under: uncultured bacterium
Lineage: Bacteria
Description: partial 16S ribosomal RNA
Rfam family: Bacterial small subunit ribosomal RNA
Source: RNAcentral
UGGGGAAUAUUGGACAAUGGGCGAAAGCCUGAUCCAGCCAUGCCGCGUGUGUGAAGAAGGUCUUCGGAUUGUAAAGCACUUUAAGUUGGGAGGAAGGGCAUUAACCUAAUACGUUAGUGUUUUGACGUUACCGACAGAAUAAGCACCGGCUAACUCUGUGCCAGCAGCCGCGGUAAUACAGAGGGUGCAAGCGUUAAUCGGAAUUACUGGGCGUAAAGCGCGCGUAGGUGGUUUGUUAAGUUGGAUGUUAAAUCCCCGGGCUCAACCUGGGAACUGCAUUCAAAACUGACUGACUAGAGUAUGGUAGAGGGUGGUGGAAUUUCCUGUGUAGCGGUGAAAUGCGUAGAUAUAGGAAGGAACACCAGUGGCGAAGGCGACCACCUGGACUAAUACUGACACUGAGGUGCGAAAGCGUGGGGAGCAAACA